GGAGAGGUGUCCGAGCUGGCCUAAGGAGCGCGACUGGAAAUCGCGUAGGCGGUUUGUAGCCGCCUCGUGGGUUCGAAUCCCACCCUCUCCG
RNAcentral lists this transfer RNA (91 nucleotides) under Rubrobacter taiwanensis. It matches the Rfam family "tRNA". Rfam says of the family: Transfer RNA (tRNA) molecules are approximately 80 nucleotides in length. Their secondary structure includes four short double-helical elements and three loops (D, anti-codon, and T loops). The record is from Rfam by way of RNAcentral. Lineage: Bacteria; Bacillati; Actinomycetota; Rubrobacteria; Rubrobacterales; Rubrobacteraceae.